CCACCAUAGAAACGUGGAGGAAAUUGUUUUACAAAAAACAAUUUCCUCCACGUUUCUAUGGUGG
Salmo salar (Atlantic salmon) is the source of this 64-nucleotide non-coding RNA. Lineage: Eukaryota; Metazoa; Chordata; Actinopteri; Salmoniformes; Salmonidae. The record is from Rfam.